Molecule: microRNA, 25 nt
Filed under: Ananas comosus (pineapple)
Lineage: Eukaryota; Viridiplantae; Streptophyta; Magnoliopsida; Poales; Bromeliaceae
Description: microRNA s1428_c073b
Source: RNAcentral
AAGUGUUAAAACUGAACCGAAACUA